UGUCACACUGGUGACACUGACAGUCUCAAUUUAAAGCCCCGGUGAUUCCUAGCUACUCAACUAGCUGUACAAGUUCCUUUUUUAGUAUUUUAUAUUUGUUCAUAACUUUUUCAGAAGCCAAGAACCAGAUUAUGCUGCUGGGCCAGAUCAUAGCUGGGUCUUGAACUCUUGGCUGUUGAGCACAAUGGUACCAGCCAACACCCUCCCAGUUCAUGUUAAAGACCUCAUCUCAGCUGCCUCCUUUGGAAAGAAGAAUGCUGAAACUCUGAACAAUGGGUGUAAUGAAAUAUCAUAACUCUUUUCUAG
Passer domesticus (house sparrow) is the source of this 306-nucleotide long non-coding RNA. RefSeq lists it as uncharacterized. The transcript is spliced from 3 exons. The record is from RefSeq and is a predicted model, not a curated record. NCBI's taxonomy places the organism in Eukaryota, Metazoa, Chordata, Aves, Passeriformes, Passeridae.